UGGCUCCUCUACCAGCCUCUCCGAUAUCUCCUCGUGAAGCUGGGGUUCAAUCUUCUUCUACUCAAAUUCUUUCUACUGUGGGCCCAAAUAGCAUGCCUCUUCCCAUCGAUCAAGCAAAUCCAGAUGCCUACCUUACAUGCAUUCUUGAAAAUGCAUCAUUUGAUGACUGGAGGGUGGUCAAAGAGUUAAUCAAGAGGUCGGUGC
This 204-nucleotide long non-coding RNA is filed under the name Elaeis guineensis (African oil palm). RNAcentral's name for it is "long non-coding RNA (EGUI_LNC054174)". Lineage: Eukaryota; Viridiplantae; Streptophyta; Magnoliopsida; Arecales; Arecaceae. The record is from RNAcentral.